This 433-nucleotide ribosomal RNA is filed under the name uncultured bacterium. RNAcentral describes it as "partial 16S ribosomal RNA". It matches the Rfam family "Bacterial small subunit ribosomal RNA", at positions 29 to 507 of the family's 1533-position model. The record is from RNAcentral.
AACGAACGCUGGCGGCAUGCCUAACACAUGCAAGUCGAACGAGCCCUUCGGGUCUAGUGGCGCACGGGUGCGUAACGCGUGGGAACCUGCCCUUAGGUUCGGAAUAACUCCCCGAAAGGGGUGCUAAUACCGGAUAAUGUCUUCGGACCAAAGAUUUAUAGCCUUUGGAUGGGCCCGCGUUGGAUUAGCUAGUUGGUAGGGUAAAAGCCUACCAAGGCGACGAUCCAUAGCUGGUCUGAGAGGAUGAUCAGCCACACUGGGACUGAGACACGGCCCAGACUCCUACGGGAGGCAGCAGUGGGGAAUAUUGGACAAUGGGCGAAAGCCUGAUCCAGCAAUGCCGCGUGAGUGAUGAAGGCCUUAGGGUUGUAAAGCUCUUUUGCCCGGGAUGAUAAUGACAGUACCGGGAGAAUAAGCCCCGGCUAACUCCGUG